GACGAACGCUGGCGGCGUGCUUAACACAUGCAAGUCGAACGGUAAGGCCCCAGCUUGCUGGGGUACACGAGUGGCGAACGGGUGAGUAACACGUGGGUGACCUGCCCCGCACUUCGGGAUAAGCCUGGGAAACUGGGUCUAAUACCGGAUAGGACCGCACCGUGAGGGUGUGGUGGAAAGUUUUUCGGUGUGGGAUGGGCCCGCGGCCUAUCAGCUUGUUGGUGGGGUAAUGGCCUACCAAGGCGGCGACUGGUAGCCGGCCUGAGAGGGUGGACGGCCACAUUGGGACUGAGACACGGCCCAGACUCCUACGGGAGGCAGCAGUGGGGAAUAUUGCACAAUGGGCGGAAGCCUGAUGCAGCGACGCCGCGUGGGGGAUGACGGCCUUCGGGUUGUAAACUCCUUUCACCAUCGACGAAGGUUUUCUGACGGUAGAUGGAGAAGAAGCACCGGCUAACUACGUG
Molecule: ribosomal RNA, 464 nt
Filed under: uncultured bacterium
Lineage: Bacteria
Description: partial 16S ribosomal RNA
Rfam family: Bacterial small subunit ribosomal RNA
Source: RNAcentral